Molecule: non-coding RNA, 141 nt
Organism: Candidatus Magnetomorum sp. HK-1
Lineage: Bacteria; Pseudomonadati; Thermodesulfobacteriota; Desulfobacteria; Desulfobacterales; Candidatus Magnetomoraceae
Source: Rfam
CUCGGCAUGUUCCUGCCGAUUCCUACGUGAGCGUGCUACCAUUGCGCUGAUGAUGGGGUGCGAAGCCUCACGGACAAUGUACCGAAUUGGAUCGAAAUGGUGACAUGAAGAUCCUUCAGGGAAGCCUCCCCUGUUAAGGGC